GUUCGAUCAUGGCUCAAAUUGAACGCUGGCGGGAUGCUUUACACAUGCAAGUCGAACAGCGGCACGGACUUCGGUCUGGUGGCGAGUGGCGAACGGGUGAGUAAUGUAUCGGAACGUGCCUAGUAGCGGGGGAUAACUACGCGAAAGCGUAGCUAAUACCACAUACGCCCUUCGGGGGAAAGCAGGGGACCUUCGGGCCUCGCACUAUUAGAGCGGCCGAUAUCGGAUUGUAGCUAGUUGGUGGGGUAACGGCUCACCAAGGCGACGAUCCGUAGCUGGUUUGAAGGACGACCAGCCACACUGGGACUGGAGACACGAACUCCUACGGGAGGCAGCAGUGGGGAAUUUUGGACAAUGGAAACCCUGAUCCAGCCAUCCCGCGUGUGCGAUGAAGGCCUUCGGGUUGUAAAGCACUUUUGGCAGGGAAAGAAACGGCACGGGAUAAUACCCCGUGCAACUGACGGUACCUGCAGAAUAAGCACCGGCUAACUACGUGCCAGCAGCCGCGGUAAUACGUAGGGUGCAAGCGUUAAUCGGAAUUACUGGGCGUAAAGCGUGCGCAGGCGGUUCGGAAAAGAAAGAUGCUUGAAAUCCCGGAAACGCUUUGGAACUUUGCAUUUUUUUAACUACCGAGCUAGAGUGUGUCAGAGGAGGUGGAAUUCCGCGUGUAGCAGUGAAAUGCGUAGAUAUGCGGAGGGGAACACCGAUGGCGAAGGCGGCCUCCUGGUUAACGCACAGCUCAUGCACGAAAGCGUGGGGGCAAACCGGUUAAGAUACCCUGGUAGUCCACGCCCUAAACGAUGUCAACUAGCUGUUGGGGCCUUCGGGCCUUGGUAGCGCAGCUAACGCGUGGAAGUUGACCGCCUGGGGAGUACGGUCGCAAGAUUAAACUCAAAGGAAUUGACGGGGACCCACAAGCGGUGGAUGAUGUGGAUUAAUUCGAUGCAACGCGAAAAACCUUACCUACCCUUGACAUGUCUGGAAUCCCGAAGAGAUUUGGGAGUGCUCGCAAGAGAACCGGAACACAGGUGCUGCAUGGCUGUCGUCAGCUCGUGUCGUGAGAUGUUGGGUUAAGUCACCAACGAGCGCAACCCUUGUCAUUAGUUGCUACGAAGGGCACUCUAAUGAGACUGCCGGUAGGCAAACCGGAGGAAGGUGGGGACGUCAAAGUCCUCAUGGCCCUUAUGGGUAGGGCUUCACGUCAUACAAUGGUCGGGACAGAGGGGUCGCCAACCCGCGAGGGGGAGCCAAUCCCAGAAACCCGAUCGUAGUCGGAUCGCAGUCUGCAACUCGACUGCGUGAAGUCAGAAUCGCGUAAUCGCGGAUCAGCAUGUCGCGGUGAAUACGUUCCCGGGUCUUGUCUACACCCGCCCGUCACACCAUGGGGAAUUGGGUUUACCAGAAGUAGUUAGCCUAACCGUAAGGAGGGCGAUUACCACGGUAGGAUUCAUGACUGGGGUGAAGUCGUAACAAGGUAG
RNAcentral lists this ribosomal RNA (1478 nucleotides) under uncultured Bordetella sp. Its description in RNAcentral is "partial 16S-23S ribosomal RNA intergenic spacer". It matches the Rfam family "Bacterial small subunit ribosomal RNA". The record is from RNAcentral. Lineage: Bacteria; Pseudomonadati; Pseudomonadota; Betaproteobacteria; Burkholderiales; Alcaligenaceae.